Long non-coding RNA from Apteryx owenii (little spotted kiwi), 985 nucleotides. The record is from Ensembl. Lineage: Eukaryota; Metazoa; Chordata; Aves; Apterygiformes; Apterygidae.
CCUUGUUUCUUUGUGUUUUUGUUUUCUUUCCAGAGUCAUUACUCCCAACUUCCAGCAUGACAACCCAAAAGGUCCAGAAACAGUGUUUGGUACAACGAGGCCUCCUGGAAUGGCAUUAUCACUGUACAAACAGCAGGUGAUGAGACUAAAGAAGCAAAAGACAAGGGGGGAAAUUGCGUGCCUGGGUGAGAUUCACAUGGAGCUGAGCCGUAAAGGGACUUGCACUGUACUUCAUUUCAGACGGAUCCAGUGAAUUAACAUAUUGUUGCUGCUGCUUGGGUAAUUGAGUGCCCAGGUUCUACCCUGCUCCUGCACAGUCUUCCCUGCCUCCCAAACAGAAAGCAUCUUUCACCUCCAUCAACCAAGGCUGCAAAGUGUGGCCCCAAGACGUUGCUCAAAGAAAAGAGGAGUGGGAGGGUGGAAAGAGGAGGGGGACACUGUUUCCAAAGGCAUAUCUGGCUUGAAGACCUCACUUAUCAAAGAGAAGGAGGUUUUCUAACUAUGGAAGCUCUCCUGAGGAGUUGCAUCAUGCGCUGCUGCCCCUAAAACAGUGUGCAUAUAUUUGGGAGUGAUGAAGAACUGCAAUGUACUGCUGCAUAUUGCUUUAGUGAUGAGAGAGGCUCUCUGGCAUGUCGUACAGCACCAAAACCCAUUCUGGUGUUGACAGCAGAAAUCCUUAACAUUUUUGUAUUUUUUUCCAAGACAGCUGAUAUCUGCUGUGGAUUCUUUGUAUGCAAAUCAAGGUGGUACAACAACAACAAAAAAAGCCCUGAAAGCAGUCACCAAGAUAAACUUGGACCAAUGGGGACAUUCCUGGUUAUCGUUUUUUAACUUUUGGGUUUUUUUUAGCUCUACGCAAGAUACUUCUUUCCCCGCUCUUUCUUACAGUAGUUAAUGUUUGUCCUGGCAGACCUUUUAUUUAUCAAUUACAGUGUUUCUUGCAUUUUAUAUGGCUGCAUAUCAAUAUACAUGAAUAAAAGACAGA